AGCAAGCACCGGCUAACUCCGUGCCAGCAGCCGCGGUAAUACGGAGGGUGCAAGCGUUACUCGGAAUCACUGGGCGUAAAGCGCGCGCAGGCGGCCAUUUAAGUUGGAUGUGAAAGCCUACGGCUCAACCGUAGAACUGCAUCCAAAACUAUUUGGCUAGAGUGUGGGAGAGGAAGAUGGAAUUAGUUGUGUAGGGGUAAAAUCCGUAGAGAUAACUAGGAAUACCAAAAGCGAAGGCAAUCUUCUGGAACAUUACUGACGCUGAGGCGCGAAAGCGUGGGGAGCAAACAGGAUUAGAUACCCUGGUAGUCCACGCCCUAAACGAUGAAUGUUAGUCGUCGGGUAGCUAGUCUAUUCGGUGAUGCAGCUAACGCAUUAAACAUUCCGCCUGGGGAGUACGGUCGCAAGAUUAAAACUCAAAGGAAUAGACGGGGACCCGCACAAGUGGUGGAGCAUGUGGUUUAAUUCGAAGAUACGCGAAGAACCUUACCUAGCCUUGACAUAUAUUAGAACUCAGUAGAGAUACAGAGGUGCCUUCGGGAGCUUUCUUACAGGUGCUGCACGGCUGUCGUCAGCUCGUGUCGUGAGAUGUUGGGUUAAGUCCCGCAACGAGCGCAACCCUCGUCACUAGUUACUAACGGUUCGGCCGAGGACUCUAGUGAGACUGCCUUCGUAAGGAGGAGGAAGGUGAGGACGACGUCAAGUCAUCAUGGCCCUUACGGCUAGGGCAACACACGUGCUACAAUGGCCAGGACAGUGAGACGCGAUACCGUGAGGUGGAGCAAAUCUAUAAACCUGGUCUCAGUUCGGAUUGUAGUCUGCAACUCGACUACAUGAAGCUGGAAUCACUAGUAAUCGUA
This 860-nucleotide ribosomal RNA is filed under the name uncultured bacterium. Its description in RNAcentral is "bacterial SSU rRNA". It matches the Rfam family "Bacterial small subunit ribosomal RNA", at positions 485 to 1346 of the family's 1533-position model. The record is from RNAcentral.